Long non-coding RNA from Oenanthe melanoleuca, 239 nucleotides. RefSeq lists it as uncharacterized. The transcript is spliced from 2 exons. The record is from RefSeq and is a predicted model, not a curated record. NCBI's taxonomy places the organism in Eukaryota, Metazoa, Chordata, Aves, Passeriformes, Muscicapidae.
CGGCGGCGGCGGGUUUCCCUUCACCGCGCGCGUGCGCGGUGUAGAGGGGAACCCGUUUGCCGCCGUCUCCGGGCGAGGAGGUAGACCUGUUGCCCGUAGGCAGCCGGGGGGGCCGCCCCGCUGUCCCGCGCGGUGCCAUCCCGUGCGGGCGGGCGCAGAGUCGACGGCACCUCCUCGAACGGACUUUGCCGCCUGGCGAGGGGAAACGGGGUAGACCUGUUGUCCCCCGCUUAUUUUGG